This 137-nucleotide ribosomal RNA is filed under the name uncultured eukaryote. RNAcentral describes it as "partial 18S ribosomal RNA". It matches the Rfam family "Eukaryotic small subunit ribosomal RNA", at positions 1299 to 1458 of the family's 1831-position model. The record is from RNAcentral.
UCGUGGAUCGAUUUGUCUGGUUUAUUCCGAUAACGAGCGAGACUCUAGCCUACUAAAUAGUGACGGAAUUAUUUACUGUUCCGCUUGCUUCUUAGAGGGAUUUUCGGUGUUUAGCCGCACGAGAUUGAGCAAUAACA